CAGGCACGCAAAUUACCCACUCCCGGCACGGGGGAGGUAGUGACAAAAAAUAACGAUACGGGACUCAUCCGAGGCCCCGUAAUCGGAAUGAGAACAUCCUAAAUCCUUUAACGAAAAUCUAUUGGAGGGCAAGUCUGGUGCCAGCAGCCGCGGUAACUCCAGCUCCAAUAGCGUAUNNNNNNNNNNNNNNNNNNNNAGCGUGCCACGCUGUCGGUUCACCGCCUGCCGGUGCAACUGGCAUGCCGUGGCAUGUCCUGUCGGUGGCGGAUAGGCUUCGUGUCGCGUCCUAUGCACUAAACUGUGUAGGCCGCGCGGCACGUUGUCCUUGUACGCCGGCUCAAUCCUACCGCGGUGCUCUUUACCGAGUGUCGAGGUGGGCCGACACUGUUUACUUUGAACAAAUUAGAGUGCUUAAAGCAGGCUCUUAAAUCAGCCUGAAUAGUGGUGCAUGGAAUAAUAGAACAGGACCUUGGUUCUAUUUUGUUGGUUUUCUGAAUCCAAGGUAAUGAUCAAUAAGGACAGGCGGGGGCCUUGGCAAAUGCUUUCGCNNNNAAAUUCUUGGACCGUCGCAAGACGCACUAGAGCGAAAGCAUUUGCCAAGUAUGUCUUAAUUGAUCAAGAACGAAAGUUAGAGGUUCGAAGGCGAUCAGAUACCGCCCUAGUUCUAACCAUAAACGAUGCCAGCCAGCGAUCCGCCGAUGUUCCUCCGAUGACUCGGCGGGGAGCUUCCCCGGGAAACCAAAGCUUUUGGGUUCCGGGGGAAGUAUGGUUGCAAAGCUGAAACUUAAAGGAAUUGACGGAAGGGCACCACCAGGAGUGGAGCCUGCGGCUUAAUUCGACUCAACACGGAAAACCCCACCAGGCCCGGACAUUGGAAGGAUUGACAGAUCGAUAGCUCUUUCUCGAUUCAGUGGGUAGUGGUGCAUGGCCGUUCAUAGUUCGUGGACUGAUUUGUCUGGUUAAU
This 964-nucleotide ribosomal RNA is filed under the name Stenophyella sp. WCW-2003a. RNAcentral describes it as "partial 18S ribosomal RNA". It matches the Rfam family "Eukaryotic small subunit ribosomal RNA", at positions 429 to 1323 of the family's 1831-position model. The record is from RNAcentral. Lineage: Eukaryota; Metazoa; Arthropoda; Insecta; Hemiptera; Pachygronthidae.